UCCGGAUCUUCUGUACCGAAGGUGGAGCUGUAGGACGGAAGAUCUCUGCCAUAAUGACCCACAUGGGACAUGAUGCCGGCGAACUGUCUGUGUAUGAACUUCAGCGACUUGAACAUCUUUGAAGAUUUCACAAGCAUGUGGACAUGCAGCAGAGGAUCUCCGGACUCGGGAUGCAAGUGAGGCCAAAGCAAGAUAAUGAAGACCUUGAAUGCAGACAGGCCGAGGCAGACACUGCUGAGAAGACCAUGGGCAUCUACACAGUCCGGACAGAGGGUGAUGGUCUAGGUGAUGCAUGUUUUGAAGAUGUCUGUGUGGCACUGGACGGUGUGAGUUCUCCAGAGCCUGCGGAGUGUCGGCCAUGCAUGUGUUGGGCUUUAUGAACGAAUCUAUGCACCAACUUGAGCUAUCCAAAAAGACUGCGAAAUAUACAUACAUUUGAGGGUUACCAGAAAGUUCUGAUGGACCUGUACUCAAGCAAGCUUGAAAUAGCUCCUGUGAUUCAGUGGCAUACACGCCUGUUAGACUCUCACUUCGCUUCCGCUCACACUGCCGCAGUGGCAUUGGUUGUGACCCGUAGAUGGUCGACCAGGGGAAAAAAACUAUAAAACUCAUGAUAUUUUUGUCUUCGACCAAGUGGUCAGUGUGGAGGAGUUUGAGGUUUUUUU
This is a long non-coding RNA of Engraulis encrasicolus (European anchovy), 665 nucleotides long. RefSeq lists it as uncharacterized. The record is from RefSeq and is a predicted model, not a curated record. Lineage: Eukaryota; Metazoa; Chordata; Actinopteri; Clupeiformes; Engraulidae. The transcript is spliced from 4 exons.